Molecule: non-coding RNA, 31 nt
Organism: Echinostoma caproni
Lineage: Eukaryota; Metazoa; Platyhelminthes; Trematoda; Plagiorchiida; Echinostomatidae
Source: Rfam
GACGAGUCCCAAACAGGACGAAACAGCUGUC